RNAcentral lists this ribosomal RNA (490 nucleotides) under uncultured bacterium. RNAcentral describes it as "partial 16S ribosomal RNA". It matches the Rfam family "Bacterial small subunit ribosomal RNA", at positions 29 to 507 of the family's 1533-position model. The record is from RNAcentral.
AGUGAACGCUGGCGGCAGGCCUAACACAUGCAAGUCGAACGGCAGCACAAGAGAGCUUGCUCUCUGGGUGGCGAGUGGCGGACGGGUGAGGAAUGCAUCGGAAUCUGCCCAUUUGUGGGGGAUAACCUCGGAAAACCGGGACUAAUACCGCAUACGACCUACGGGUGAAAGCAGGGGAUCUUCGGACCUUGCGCAGAUGGAUGAGCCGAUGCCGGAUUAGCUAGUUGGAGGGGUAAAGGCCCACCAAGGCGACGAUCCGUAGCUGGUCUGAGAGGAUGAUCAGCCACACUGGGACUGAGACACGGCCCAGACUCCUACGGGAGGCAGCAGUGGGGAAUAUUGGACAAUGGGCGCAAGCCUGAUCCAGCCAUGCCGCGUGUGUGAAGAAGGCCUUCGGGUUGUAAAGCACUUUUGUUGGGAAAGAAAAGCAGCCGGUUAAUACCCGGUUGUCAUGACGGUACCCAAAGAAUAAGCACCGGCUAACUUCGUG